GGCGGGGCAGCCCCGGUCCCGCUGGUCAGCUGCGGGAGGUGCACGUCGGGCACGGGCCAGGCGCCCGACCCGCAAGCCUGGAGCUUGAAGCCCCGAGAGUCCGACUGUGAGGAGCACGGUCGUACGAGGCUGGAGGGACCUCGAGAGUUAGGCCACGCUCUGCGAGUACCGGAAACCUGUGGGGACCGAGUGGCGCUGGCACACCUGCGAUGGCGAACUCACCACUGUGCGAGUGAGAGUGAGCCACGCCUUCGCCGGACUGCGCUGUCCGUUGGUUCUUUGGGAUGCAAGCGACAGCCUUCCCUGACGCACUCGGGGUGCUGUGUGCCAAGUAUUGUGAGCGUGCCCCGUCGGUCCUGUCGCGGAGUCACCCUCGCGGGUGAUUCGUGUGUCAUUCUCUCCAUUUUGCAGAUGGGUGAACUGUAGCAGAGAUUGCUUAAAUGGGCUAGGAUCUGAAUUUAGGACUGCCUGCCUUUUCCCGCUGCUCCCUAAAGCAGAAGUUGGGGUCCUGCGUGGAGGACGUUACAGUAAAGCUUUAUAGGAAGAUGCCAGACUCCUGACCAUCAGGACAGCUUCUUGAAGCUCAUUAGCCUGCCCCUAGGAGGUCAGGCAGGACGGUGUACUCAGUCCUCACUCAUUCCUGAGACCUCCCAAACAUCCUUGUAGUGCACUGUAAUCCUUCAUACUAGCAGACUAAAGAAGGCAUAAUGAAAUAACCCGGUGCAGGAAAAUCACUUGACAAAAUUCAGAGGCCAUUCAUGAUAAAAGGAAUCUGUAAACUAGGAACAGAAGGGAGGGAGCAUCAUUACCCUGAAUGGGGGCAUCUAUUAAAAAGAAGCACCUUGGGCCGGGGAUUUAGCUCAGUGGUUCCAGCGCCUGCCUUGCAAGCAUAAGGUCCCAAGUUCAAUCCCCGGUACCAAAUAAAUUUUUAAGCAUUGAUCCUGCUGCUUAAAGAAGCACCUAAAGCAAAUAUCAUUCUCAAAGGUGAAAAACUGAAUGUUUCCCCUCUGAGAUGGGGAACGAGGAAAGGACAUCCAUUCUCCUAAUUUCUAUUCAAUACUGUAGUAGUAGGCUGGCAAUAAGGAAAGAACAGCAAACAAAAGACAUAUGUAUUACAGCAAAGGAAGAAAUCAUAUAGUCCCUUUCACAGACGAAAUAGUAAUAUAUGCAGAAUAAUCUACAGAGAUGCUUCUAGAAAUAAAUGAGUGUGGGAAGGUUGCAGGACUUACUGUCAACACAUGAAAAUCAAAUUGUAUUUCUAUACUGGCAGUAAAUGAUUGGAAAUUGAAAACAAUUUACAUAGCAUUUGUAAUAGUUUAAAAAACAGAAACAAGCACAAAUCUACUAAAUGUUCGCAGGACCUGUACCCUGAAAAGUAUAAAACACUGAUGAAGAAAAAUCAGAGAAGACCUAAUAGUAAGUGGAAGCCCCCUGUCGGCUGGGCUCGUGGGCUGGAAAAUUCAGUGCAGUUAGGAUAAAAUUCUUUGGUAACUAUUCUCAUAUGUUCUGUAUAAGAUUUAACACCAUUCCAGCUGAAAUUCGGUCAACAUUUUUUUGUAAAUGCAGAUAAACUGGUUCUAAAACAAAUUUGAAAAACAUCAGUGUUGGAGGACUCACACUAUCUGAUUUUUAAAAUUACUAAACAGCUAUACUAAAUGCACAGCUCAACAAUCAGAGUAAAAAAAUCUAUAAAUAAGCUCAAUCAAAAUGGUCAACUGAGCCGGGCAUGGUGGCACAUGCCUGUAAUCCCAGCACUUGGGAGGCUGAGGCAGGAGGAUUACUGUGAGUUCAAGGCCUACCUGGGCUACAUAGCAAGACUCUGUCUCAAAAAAAGCUGAUUCAGACAAAGCUCCAAAGGCAAGUCAAUGAAGAAAAGAUAAUUUUUCACCAAAUGAAGUUGAAAAAAAUUAGACAUCCAUAUGCAAAACAAGCCUUGGCUGUUGUGAUGAUCUGUCCUUUAUUUAGACCUCCACCACCCUUUGGCUUCGUAAUUCUGAGUCUGAAAUUUUUCAGUGCAGAGUGGUGGGGGAGAGGAACAAAAGGACUCCAUUUUUCAUUCUGAACAGGAAUCCCUGGGGACUGAAAUCUCAAAGUCGGGUCAGUUGGGCCUCGGAGAGCAGCCUUCAGGAGGUAAAAAAACACAUGUGAAUGUGUAAUAGAUAAUGUGAAAUAGGAAGAAAAAGUCAAAAGGGAAAGGGGAACUACUGGGAGGGGUAGAGGAAAGGAAAGAACCAGUAUAUCAUGCCAAGGUACAAAUUCCCAAUGAUGAAUGUCAUCAUAUACCUAAAAUGUACCAAUAAACUUAAUGAAAAAAAAAAAGAAAACACGUGGCUUUUAGGGGCCUGUGCUCACUAAGGAGAGCAACCACAGAGCCAGGUUGGCUGGGAAGCAGGGUCCUUGAGGGGCUAGUGGGUCUCCAAGAACUGGAGUAGGUCUCGGCUCAUGAGCACUUGGCAGGAAAACUGAGCCCCCUGAGUCCUGUUUGACAUGGCAGCAAAACAAGUGGUAACUCAGUGGAUUUACUUAGAUUAAGAGAUAUGGCCCCUGGUGAGGUAUGACCAAAUCUAUGACACUAAAUGGCUAAAAACCAAGCUAAAGGCUGUAACUAGAUGUCUAAAUAUAUCUUGUCCGUAUCUCACCACAUAUUUGCCAUAUUUUGUGUUUGUUAUUAUGUGUAUAUAUGUUGCUGUGGCUUGAUUGUUUCUCCCAAAAGUUCAUAGGUUGGAAUAUUAAUUCCUCAAAGCAGCAGUGUGAGAGGGUGGGGCCUAGUGGGAGGUGUCUGGGUCCUGGGGGUGGAGCCCUCCCAAAUGGAUUAACACUGUCUCCCAGGAGUGAGUUCUCACUCUCUUGGGACUGGAUCAUUUACCUUGAGGGUGGGUUGUUACAAAGUAAGGUUGUCCCUUGUAUUACUCAUCUUUCCAUCUCUGGGACAAAAUACCCAACACGGGAAAUUUAAAGGAGGAGAGGUUUAUUUUGACUCAUGUUUUGGGAGGAUUCAGUCCAUGGUUGACAGGUUCCAAGGCAGGAACAAAAUGGUAAAAGGGCCUGGGAGAGAAAAGCUGUUUACCCCAUGGUGGCCAGGAAGGAGAGAGAGGAGGGUUAAGCCAGGGACAAGAAUAUACCCUUCCAGGUCACACACACAGUGAUCUCCCUUUCUGACCAGGCCCACCUCCUACUAACAGCAUGUUCAGCUUUGAACUCAUCAGUGGAUUAAUUUACUGAGGAGCAUGGUACCCAUGAUCUAAUCACCUUCCAAAAGGCCCACCUCUGACUCUGUGAGAAUUGGGGGACAUUUUAGGUCUAAACCAGAACACCCCUCAUGUUCUCUCUUCCCCACGUCUGCUUCCUUUUUAGCUUUCUGCAUGGGUUGAAGCGACUCGAGGCCCUCAGCAGAAUCACGCAGACUCCAGCACCAUGCUCAUGAAUUUCCCAACCUCCAGAACCAUGAAUCUGAACCAAACUCUAUUCUUUGUAAAUAACCAGGUCUCAAGAAUUCUGUCACAGCAGCAGACAUAUGUAUAUUAUAAAUACAGCCAGGCCUCCAUAUCUAUGGGCUCUAUAGCCAGGAAUUGAUUUUCAGUUAAAAAUAUUUUAAAACAUUGUGUCUGUGCUGAAUAUUGUGUACAAACAUAUUUUUUGCCAUUAAGAUAUAAUGACCAUUUAUAUAACAUUUACUUGUGUUAGGUAUUAAGUAACUGUAUCAGUCAGCGCUCCUGUUGCUGAGACACAGUACCCAACACCCACAACUUAAAGGAGGAGAGGCUUAAUUUGGCUCACUUUUUCACGGGAUUCAGUCCAUGGUCAGUUGGCUCCACAGCAGGAAUAUCGUGGUGGAAGUAUUGAGGGUGACUUCUUGGUGAGUCACUAGCUUGUCCAGGCUGGGUUGGAACCUGUGAUCUUGCCUCAGCCUCUCAGAGUCCUGGGAUUGCAGGAGCGCACCACCACGCCUGGCUUGGAAGGGAAAGCUUUAAGAGAUUCAGCCACCUCUGAAGAAGCCCUAUGACCGCAUGAGGCUUUGGGGAGACAUCCAGACACAAGACAUAACAGCUGGGGAACCUGCAUGGGACAUCCAUAGAGGGCGCCCUCUCGGAUUCACUGCAGCCUUGCAGCCCAAGGUGCGGGAACCUCUGGUAAGGCUGCUAACCUGUGACUCGUGAGAUAGUUGUGUGGCUUCCAGAAGUAUCAACUCUUAUGUUCCCUGCCCUUAGCCAUUUUUCUCUGGGCUGCAAAAUACACAAAGAGCUUACGUUUUGGCUUUGCAGUAGCACAGGCUGAAAAAGGGAAAGUAGUUGAAGAAGCCCUACUCACAUACUGUAUGGUGAACUUUAGAGGAUAAAUAAAACACCCCCUUUCCAGAUACAAAAGAGACACCUCCUCCUAUCCCAACUAUUUUGAUGCUGAUUAUCUGAUGAGCUUAGAUAUUUUCACGGAAGGAAACUAAUUUUGUUUAAUAUAUUAGCACUGAUUUUAUAUCCCUGGAGUGGGAAGAUAUUUCUGUGGAUCAGUCAUAAUGCUGGUCUUUCCUGUGUAUAGUUGUUUAUUUACUUAUUUAUUUAUUUGGAAACAAGAUCUCACUCUGUAGUUCAGGCUGGCCUUGAACUCAUUAGAUAGCCCAGGCUGGCCUUGAACUCCAAUCCAUCCUCCUGCCUCAGCCUCCCGAGUGCUGGGAUUACAGGCAUAAACCACCAUGCCUGGCCAGUUAUAUGUAGCGAGAUAAGAUUUCACCAUAUUAUCUCUGGAUUUGUGUAAUUAUAAACUAUUAAAAUAGUGAGUGUGGUCCUAUUUUUGUUGUUGUUGUUGUUGUUGUUAUUAUUUGAUUUUUUGAGACAGGGUCUUGAUAUGUAGCUCAGGCUGGCCUUGAAUUCACAGUGAUCCUCCUGCUUCAGCCUCCCAAAUGCUGGGAUUACAGGUGUGCACCACUACACCUGGCAGUGUGGUCCUUUUAAACAUAUUUGCAUCAUACUAGUAUAUAAAAGAUUAGUUUAGCCAAGUAGAAAUAUUGUUUUACUAAUGUUGAAUGUGUAUAGUAACUUGGAGUAGACUAAGGAUUUUUGCCAUUUAGACGAUGUAUAUAAAUAUCUAUCUUCAGAAUUUUGAGAUGCUUAAAAAUUUGUCUGUUGCUUUAAAAUAUAGCAUAAAUUAGCAAUAUACCAUAGCUGUUAAAAUCAAUUUUGCCACUUCAGGGAAUUUGUACUUCAAAGUCACACAAAAAAGUGGGCAAAAAUUCAUGGCAACUACUUCUAAUAAUAUUUAUAAUAACAAAAAGGGAAAUAUGUAUGGGUUUGGAUCUGGACUAAAAAGCAUAUGGUACACUUAUAAAAUGGAAGAUUAUGAAGAUAUAAAGGUAAGGUUGCCAGGGAUUUAGCUCAGUGUUUCUGCCGCCUGCCUUGCAAGUGCAAGGUCCUGAGUUUGAUCUCCGGUAACGAGAAAAAAAACCAAAAGUAUGAUAAUCUAUAAUUGUUUCAUUUCAAAUUGUGUCAUUUUGAGAUACUAUAUGGAAGCAAUCAUACAGUAUGAGAUGGGUUUUUACCACUUAGCAUAAUACCCUUAAUAUUCAUGCAAGUUGUUGACUUGUACAUAUUCCAUGGUGUGGAUGUACCACAAUUUCUUUGAUCAGUCCCAUAAGUAUUAUUGAAUCUUUGAGCUAUUUUCAGUUUGGUGCUAUUACAAAUGAAGCUGCUGGCCGGGGAUUUAGCUCAGUGGUUUCGCCGCCUGCUGUGCAAGCGCCAGGACCUGAGUUUGAUCCCCGGUACCCCCCAAAAAAGAAAAAAAACCAAAACAAAUGAAGCUGCUGUGAACAAUCAUGGACAGGUUUUGGUGUGAACUUAAGUUUUCAUUUUUCUGGGAUAAAUGCCCAAGAGUAUGCUUUGUAGGUUGUAAGAUAAGUGUAUGCUUAGUUUUUUGAAAAACUGCUAAAUUAUUUUCCAGAAUGCUGCACCCUUUUACAUUUCCAACCACAGUUUUCUUUUUAUACAGAAUGUUACAGACUACUGUUAACACAGUGGCGCUAGGCCAAAGGCACAUGAGAAUCUGAGACACUUUUCUUUUCUAGAGAAAUUUAAUAUAUAUUAGAUGAGGAGAAAAAGGCAGGUCAAUAUGAAUCUCUUUGCUGGCCCAUGCCACAUUUAACUUCUUAUUUUAUCAGAAUGAUUCUUCCAUCACUAUCCAGCUAACCCUUUCUUUGAAAUUUUUUUAAUUUUUAUUUUGAGACAGGGUCUUGCUAAAUCACUAAAUUGCCCAGGCUGAGCUCAAACUUGCUGUCUUCCUGACUCAGCCUCCCAGAUUACAGGUGUAUGCCUCCACUCCUGGUUUAGCCUAACCUUUUGUUGGAAGCUGCAGUGAACAAAUUGCACAGGCCACCUGACUGUACCUUUCAUCUCUGACCGAGAGUACCUUUGUACUCUGACCAAGGCUGCCUGAGGAGCUCAGGCCUGUUCUGGAAUGUUCUGCUCCCACAUUCUGAAUAAUAAAGUCACUGAGGGUUAGAGUCAUUUAGAACCGUCCUACCUCGGGAUCUUGUACCUGCACACCCCACCCUCAGUGCCAGGCUUUGGUUGUUAGAGCACAGGGUGAGGUCACACUCACCUAUGUUAGGAGACCCAGCUCCGGGGUCAUGCUGCCCUGUCCAAUUACUCAGCCUGAAUUUCCCCACCUGCACAUUGAGGGCACAGGUAACACCCAACAAUAUCCCCUAACAGAGCCUUUCAGUCACUGUGCAGAUAGAUAUGGUAGUGAACAAAGAUGUGGCCUUAAAGUGCCCCAAAGAGAAACCCCAAGUACACUGCUCAGCCCAGUCUUGGGCAUGUGGCUAGCAUUAAAGAAAUGUUUUUGUCACUUCAGUCAAACUCAAUACUCGUUUAUGGGCUUGAAUGGAAUAUAAAGAAGCCAGUGUGACACAUUUUGUUUACUAUUAUAUAUGCAUUUUUUUCUUUUUGUGCUGCUGGGGGUUGAAGCCAGGACCUUAUACAUGCUAGGCAAGUGCUCUACCACUGAGCUACAUCUCCAACCCUCCAACCCUGGCCUAGUACAUUCUUCAUUUUAGUUGGACAUUAAAUAUCAGAUUGUUAGGAGCUUGCUGGCUUCAUCUUGUCCCUAACAUCAAAUUAGUUACUCACCAAAUGCACUCAUUUUGUGCUUAAAACCUGGGAUUAAUUUCUGAACUUUGUAUCUUUUUUUUUUUUGGUACUGGGGAUUGAACUCGGGACCUUGAGCUUUGGAGGCAGGCAGCAGAAUCACUGAGCUAAAUCCCCGGCCCUGAGCUUUGUAUCUCGAACAUCAGAUUCAGGAAGGGUCUCUUGCAUAAAACUCAGAAGAAAGAUGCUGUUUAUAAACUUAUAAAAUGUCCCUUACUGAGUGUUCCAAGGUUGAUAUGUUACCAAAAGACUCCCGCAACAAUAAAGGACAAUUCCAUUGUUUAUAAAAGUCAGCACAUUUCAUAAAUACUUAAUCAGAAAUACGAAGUAUAGCAGGGGAAAAACCCUUUGAGGAAAUUAAUUUUUAAAUUCUUAAAAGGCCAGGGAAAUAGUCCAGUGGUAAAGUACUUGCCUAGCAUGUUCAAGGCCCUGAAUAGAGCCUCCAAAGGUACUGCAAAAAUACUGAGAAGAAGUCUAAAUUCUAAGCCAGUUGUUCAUUACCCAAAUUGGUUAAUGAGUGAACUGGUCACCUGGCAAACUGCUCUUUAGGAUACACGGCUCUGGUCCGGAGAGUGUUUGGGGGCAGAAGCAAUAUGGCAGCCAUGGCAGAACGGAGCACAUAGGAAAGGAAAAACAAUUUUCCUCAAUCCUUGUAAAUUCUUAGUUGGAACGGAUUCUUCUAACAGACAGAUUAACAAGAGAAAAAUAAAAGUUCAUUAACACAUAUAUUUCAAAUAUCCACAGGGGAUAUUCAAGGAGUGAGCAGUUCUUGAAAAGUUGGCUUUGAAUUCAGCUGAUGUAACGUUUUCGAAAGAGAACAGUACAUUUUUUGAAAGAGAAAAGAGAAAGGACUUUGAGUCCCACUUGCCAGUCACAGAUUCCUCCUGUGGCAUCUGAAGGGCUGUAGUCAUCUUGAGUGGAGAGAAAGGGGUUAGGAUACCUCUUCUUUCUGUAACUCUGUGUCCUGCCUUCAGGCAAGCAGUGAAGACAAAGAGCUUUCCUGCAUCUGCUUUCUUGUCAACUGCAGGCAGCUCUACUGUCUUUAUUUGGGGGCUGUUUGAGGGCGUCAUACUCUGAUCUCCCAUGGAGACAGGGCUUUAUUACUAUAGGGCUAGAUUACUAUAGGCCUAGAUUACUACAGGGCUUGGUGAGAAUGCCCUAUUGGUUGAGCGCAGGUCACACUCCUGCUUGCCGGAGGUGGUGAGAGGGAAUCAGGAGCCUCUCUGAUGUCCACAGGGGAAGUUGAGGCUCUGCUCCCCACUAGGACACAGACAACCAUGACGGGCUCCAAACAGUAACCAACAGAUGCUUGCUACAUUGAAUGAAUAGACUCGUCAGGUAACAUGGGCAGCAGUCACCGUUCAUGAAACACUCAGAAAUCUGUUGCCAGAAAUUCCUCAACCUCUGUUCAGCCUGAGUUUCUGAGGCAAAAAAUGCCCAUGCCAGCUAGGUAUGGUGGUGCAUGCCUGUAAUCCUUGCACUCUGGGAGGCUGAGAUACAAAGAUCACAAGUUUGAGCCCAGCUUGGGCAACUUAGCAAAACCCUAACUCAAAAAUACACAGAGAUGGUAGCUAGGGUUCUGGAAGCUGAGAUUUCUGGAGAUUUCACUGCUGUCAGUGCUCUUCACUUUUUUGACCUUUCCUGGGGCUAUACUGGAGAUCAGGAGUAUCUUUUUGGGGGGGAUGGGGAGGGACAGCCCAGACUUUGCAGUAACAAAGGUUAAUGUUCUGUCAUCUCGCAGAUCUAUUUCCCCAGGCUCUCCAAAAGUAAAUGUUACAGUGAUGAAAACGCUGGAGUCUGGGUUCUGGUUCAUUUGAGAGCCCUCACCUCUCAGAGUGUACCCUGGGAGCCCUGAGCCUCCUCUGUGGCCUGAAACUUCAUAAACUUCGGUUUAGGCUGUCAGCACCGAUUUAAAGAGAUUUGCUUUGUUCCUUGGCUUCUGAGAAAGAACUGACAGCAGGGCUUUGGGGGUUAAUGGUGAAACCUGAGCUGGCUUCUUCCCCCCUAGAGAGGCAGAGUGAGUCAGAUGUUUGCGCAGAAGGCUGUGGUGUCAAAUCCACACAUUCACAGGCCUUCUGCCUUUGCCACUUUAAACCAGGAAGGUGUACCGCAUAACAGUUUUAAUUGCUAAACCCUAGCUGCAAACCCCAAUCGCUGGAUUUUGCAAGCGUUGAGUGUGAACAGCUGUGAGCAGUGGCAGUUUUCUGCCAGGUGGGUUUAUUUGUUCCUUUGCUCAUCAUCUGCUUCCUUGUGUGUGCCCAAGCCCACAGCAGGGGCCUGGGCCAUUUGCUGCCUUUCCUUCUGGUCAGAGGCCACGGCCUCUCCUGCAGGUUUAGCUUCAUCCCUGCUCCUCGCUGAGUCCUGUGGAGCUUGUUUCCACCCUGCAUCUCCUGGGGACUGUGUGACCACUCGGAAUCUUCAUACCCGCUGGAGCUGGGCUGAAGCUCAGUCUACAAUUCAGCUCAGAAAACUGAGGCUCGGUGAGAUAAGAAACUUUGUUCAUGGUCACGAAGCAAGUGACAACAACUGGGACUUGAAUCCCAGGCUUCCUGAUGCUAGAGCCCAAAACCAUCUAAGCAAUAAUAUCUAUGACAUCCUGGGCUUGAGCUGCUGGUUGUGGAGAUUUCAGUCUAUGACUGAUUUGCCCCGUUGCUUUUGGACCUCUGGUAGCAUUUUAUGGUAGGACCAUGUGUUGGGGCCAAACUCUUUGCUUCAUGGCCGAGGCCCCACCACCCCCUCUGAGGAAGCACUCCGGUGACGUGAAGCCUUCCCACGACACCCCACCUCUUAAAGUUUCCACCACCUCACAAAAUUGACAAGCUGGGGAGCAAACUUCGACAUCUGGGCCUUUGGGGAACCUUCUAGAUCUAAACUAUACUAUGUAUACUUACAGUGGUUACAUUUUAUGGCUUGUAAAUUGUAUCUCGAAGAGGAAGGAGGAGGAGAGAAAGGAAAGAAAGGGAAGGGGGUGCCUGCCUCCCAAGCGCAAGGACCCGAGUUCGAUCCCCGGUACCAAAAAAAAAACAACAAAAGACAAACAAACAAAGGGAAGGGGAAAUUAGCCAGGAAGGGGGAUGAAAGGGCUUCUGGAAUAAUGGCGUUGCUAUGUUUCUUGAUUUCUGUGUUGGUUAAAAGGCUGUGUUCGUUUUGUGAAAGUCCAUGAAGCUGUCUGUUUAUGCUUUGUGCAUAUUUCUAUAUGAUGUUAUAUUACAGCAAGAACAUUUACUAAAAACAAUUCUGCCAAUAUGAGAACACCAUUUCUCCCCAGUUAUGACUGAAAUAUUUAAUGAUACUGAAAGUUGUUUCUUUGCUGGUUAUUAGUUUGUAUAAUCACAUCACUCUGCCAACUUAGUUUUACAGUGUUAGGAAUUUAGGUUUUGUGUGGCUUAAUACAGAAAGGGUUAUAAAAGAUAUAUUUAGCUAAUCACACAUGUGCCACAAGAACAUCACUGGAAGCCAUUGUCACUUAAUUAUUCACAGCAGUUAUCAACAUGGACAGUAUUCAGUGUGCAACCAAAAUAAAUGGAAGUUUUAAGAGGG
Non-coding RNA from Heterocephalus glaber (naked mole-rat), 10673 nucleotides. The record is from RefSeq and is a predicted model, not a curated record. Lineage: Eukaryota; Metazoa; Chordata; Mammalia; Rodentia; Bathyergidae.